Molecule: long non-coding RNA, 276 nt
Filed under: Salvator merianae (Argentine black and white tegu)
Lineage: Eukaryota; Metazoa; Chordata; Lepidosauria; Squamata; Teiidae
Description: lncRNA (ENSSMRG00000022791.1)
Source: RNAcentral
CACACCUUCCUUGGCAACUGGAGGGAUUGCCUUUCUUACUCUAAAUACACAGCACCAGACAUGUUCUAUGUAUCUCCAUAAGGAAGGAAGCAGUCCAGCUCACCUUCACAAUGAAGGCAGGUUCAAAGAUCUGGUGUCAACUGAAGUAUACAUUCAUAUCUGGCCAGGGUUCUCCUUGUCAUGGAGAAAGGUACUUUACCAACACAGCCUGGCCAAAGUGGCUGGAGCUUUUUCUGUCCACUGGCCAGGGUGCAGUGAUGAUUGCCAGUGGCUCAC